This 76-nucleotide transfer RNA is filed under the name Gammaproteobacteria bacterium. RNAcentral describes it as "tRNA-Lys". It matches the Rfam family "tRNA". From Rfam's summary of the family: Transfer RNA (tRNA) molecules are approximately 80 nucleotides in length. Their secondary structure includes four short double-helical elements and three loops (D, anti-codon, and T loops). Further hydrogen bonds mediate the characteristic L-shaped molecular structure. tRNAs have two regions of fundamental functional importance: the anti-codon, which is responsible for specific mRNA codon recognition, and the 3' end, to which the tRNAs corresponding amino acid is attached (by aminoacyl-tRNA synthetases). tRNAs cope with the degeneracy of the genetic code in two manners: having more than one tRNA (with a specific anti-codon) for a particular amino acid; and 'wobble' base-pairing, i.e. permitting non-standard base-pairing at the 3rd anti-codon position. The record is from RNAcentral. Lineage: Bacteria; Pseudomonadati; Pseudomonadota; Gammaproteobacteria.
GGGUUUAUGAUCUAAAUGGCAAUGAUCCCGGGCUUUUACCCCGGUUAUCAGAGUUCGAAUCUCUGUGGACCCACCA